GAAAAGGGUGGUUACACCAUUUCAGACAACUCCACUGGAAACAAGCCUGAUGCCAUUUUGAUUGGAACUGGUUCUGAAUUGGAAAUUGCUGCCAAAGCUGCUGAGGACCUGAGAAAGGAAGGGAAGACUGUUAGAGUUGUUUCCCUUGUUUCUUGGGAACUUUUUGAUGAGCAGUCAGAAGCAUACAAGGAGAGUGUUUUGCCUGCUGCUGUAUCAGCCAGAGUUAGCAUCGAGGCAGGAUCAACAUUUGGGUGGGAGAAAAUUGUUGGAUCUAAGGGAAAAGCCAUAGGUAUUGAUCGUUUUGGAGCUAGUGCUCCAGCAGGAAAAAUAUACAAAGAAUUCGGUAUCACUAAGGAAGCUGUUAUUGCUGCAGCAAAAGAGCUUAUCUAGAUGUUUUAGUUUCUUUCUGUUCAUGUAAAACUUUUCAUUUUUUCCUCUUUUGGUUUUAUUUGCUAGAGGUUGUUUUGGCAUAAGACGUUGCUUCCACUCACUCACUCACUGUUUUGCUGGAUUUCUCAUGAGAAAUUUGCCAUUUGUAAGAGUAAUAGCCUUUUGGCAAAAUAAAAGGAGGUUCCUACUUUA
Molecule: long non-coding RNA, 582 nt
Filed under: Phaseolus vulgaris (common bean)
Lineage: Eukaryota; Viridiplantae; Streptophyta; Magnoliopsida; Fabales; Fabaceae
Description: long non-coding RNA (PVUL_LNC003785)
Source: RNAcentral